RNAcentral lists this ribosomal RNA (83 nucleotides) under uncultured bacterium. Its description in RNAcentral is "partial 16S ribosomal RNA". The record is from RNAcentral.
UCAUGAAAGCCGUCUGCACCCAAAGUCGCUGAUUCAACCCGCAAGGGAGAUAGGUGCCUAAGGUGUGGGUGGUGAUUGGGAUG